RNAcentral lists this transfer RNA (73 nucleotides) under Candidatus Micrarchaeota archaeon CG10_big_fil_rev_8_21_14_0_10_45_29. RNAcentral describes it as "tRNA-Val". It matches the Rfam family "tRNA". Rfam says of the family: Transfer RNA (tRNA) molecules are approximately 80 nucleotides in length. Their secondary structure includes four short double-helical elements and three loops (D, anti-codon, and T loops). Lineage: Archaea; Nanobdellati; Microcaldota. The record is from RNAcentral.
GGGCCCGUGGUGGAAUGGUUAACACGUUCGCCUCACACGCGAAAGAUUCCCGGUUCGAUCCCGGGCGGGCCCA